Molecule: ribosomal RNA, 253 nt
Filed under: uncultured bacterium
Lineage: Bacteria
Description: partial 16S ribosomal RNA
Rfam family: Bacterial small subunit ribosomal RNA
Source: RNAcentral
UACGGAGGGGGCUAGCGUUGUUCGGAAUUACUGGGCGUAAAGCGCGCGUAGGCGGGCUGUUAAGUCGGGGGUGAAAUCCCGGGGCUCAACCCCGGAACUGCCUUCGAUACUGGCAGCCUAGAGGAAGGCAGAGGCUAGUGGAAUGGCGAGUGUAGAGGUGAAAUUCGUAGAUAUUCGCCGGAACACCAGUGGCGAAGGCGACUGGCUGGGCCUUUGCUGACGAUGAGGUGCGGAAGCGUGGGGAGCAAACAGG